UGAGGAAUAUUGGUCAAUGGGCGCAAGCCUGAACCAGCCAUGCCGCGUGCAGGAUGACGGUCCUAUGGAUUGUAAACUGCUUUUGUACAGGAAGAAACACUCGGACGUGUCCGAGCUUGACGGUACUGUAAGAAUAAGGAUCGGCUAACUCCGUGCCAGCAGCCGCGGUAAUACGGAGGAUCCAAGCGUUAUCCGGAAUCAUUGGGUUUAAAGGGUCCGUAGGCGGUUUAGUAAGUCAGUGGUGAAAGCCCAUCGCUCAACGGUGGAACGGCCAUUGAUACUGCUAGACUUGAAUUAUUAGGAAGUAACUAGAAUAUGUAGUGUAGCGGUGAAAUGCUUAGAGAUUACAUGGAAUACCAAUUGCGAAGGCAGGUUACUACUAAUGGAUUGACGCUGAUGGACGAAAGCGUGGGUAGCGAACA
RNAcentral lists this ribosomal RNA (422 nucleotides) under uncultured bacterium. RNAcentral describes it as "bacterial SSU rRNA". It matches the Rfam family "Bacterial small subunit ribosomal RNA", at positions 355 to 774 of the family's 1533-position model. The record is from RNAcentral.